CUCUGUUUUCAAGCAACUUGCUUCUCCAUGUAUGAUUUAUGCAGCAUAUACAUCUUGCUCCUCUUUUAUCAGUAGCAAUGGAACUUGAUGAAAUUUAAGUGUCGUGUUGUUCUAGAGAUGCAGGGAGGGAGGGACUUCCAUGGAUUGGACUGCAAGGAUUGGAUGCAAACCAAUGCACAUGAGGAGGAGAGAUGCAAGCCAGGUCAUGACCUAAAGGUCCCUGCCGUGAACCCCUUCCCCUUCCCGUGUAUAAUCAUGCUCAACAAAUACUUGAUAUGAUUUUGGUUAAUCUUCAAUUCAGCCCAGCUAGCUGUUGUAGUACUUGCUUGUCUCCUUCCAAAUGUUGCCCUAGUCCGUUGAGUUUCUUAUUGCUCCAGGUAGUACUGUUAUUUUUCUGCUCUGCGAUUUGGUUUGCAUGGUUCUAGGCUCCCAGUCUACCGCUUUUGUUGCUGUGAUUUCGAGCUCUGUUUUCUUUAUUAUGACAAGUUGCAAAAUUAGUAGUGGGAAGUAAACUUUUGUUAACUUGUUGGCUGAACGAAUGGAACUACUGUUAUACUUGAUUUGUUGCUCAACUAGUGCUGCAAUGAUGGAACCGAUGAUUGUGCAUGAUGCAUCCAUCCAUUCUAUCGGAGAGGCUGUGUUUUUUUCUUCUUGUGCUAAGAUUGCCAGCAUCACAUAUCCUAUGCUUUUGUUUCUCCAGUAGAGCCUUGUGAGAUUUAUGUGUCUGCCACCGUCCUCGAAUGGUUGUUCAAUAAUAAUGGUCCUAGCUAAUUACUAGUAUGCGCUGCUGCUAAAACAACUUGCCCCUCGUUUGAUUUCAAGGAUGUUGUUGCUGCUAAAGUAGCAACAACAACGACAACAACCAUGCUUUGGUUCCCCAAAAUUCAGAUUGCACUUGCAUCUCUACAUACACACACAUAUGAACAUGCACCUCGGUUUGGUUCAGUUUGCAUAUUUACAUUUGCUUUAACUUUGACUGAAACUAUCUUGGUGACACUUGCAUCAAUGGUGUGUUCUGCCCUUGUAGAUGUCCUUGGAGAAGAUGGCCAUUGGAGUGUAGGGGAGAAACAACCUUGUCCUGCUCGAGGAGGAGGAGGACCACCCGAGCUCGACGACGACAUGGCAACAGGUAGCACUCGCCUCUCUCCCAAGGUGAAGGUCUGGUCCGCCUGUUUAGAUGGUCUGCUCUCGUCUUAUGCAUGUGAGGGGAGAAGGAAGCCAUUGGACUGAAUUAUAUUUGCAUGUGAGGGGGGUGAUCCUUUUGGUAGAUGCAGAGUAUAGAUUCACAAAAUUCACCACAUGAGCGUACUACCUAUAUCCAAAUUCUGGAUACCACUUGCAUCUUUUGUAUGUACACAUGAAAAAGCACGACGGUUUGCUUCAGUUUGUAUGUAUCCAAUUGUUUUUUACUUUUGACUGAAACUAUCUAUCUUGGUGGCACUUGCAUCUCCUGUACAUACAUACAUAUGAAUCAGGACCACACUUUUCUUCAAUUUGUAUGUGUCAAUUUUUUUUGGUUGAACUUUGAGUGAAACCAACUGGCUGGCACCUCAAUCUGUACAUACACAUGAAUCAGCACCACCCUUGGUUCAGUUUUGUAUGUGUCCAUUUGUUUUUACUUUGACUAAAGCGAACUUGAUGACACUUGCAUCUUCUGUAUAUACAUAUAUACAUAUGAAUCAGCACCACUCUUUUUCUCUUUGAAGCUUGCCUUGAACAAGAACUGAUGCUUGAUAGAUACAACCGAAACUGGAGCAUCUCUGUAUUGUAUGUAUUAGUAGUAUUGUUCGGUUCAAGCACCAACAUGACAAGUUAUCUGCCUUUUUAGUUCUAGGUGAUUUUCUUUUGGUAAAUUUAAUGUAUAGAUUACAUAUUCAUCCUCAUAUGUAGGAUCUUCUGUUUGUUGUACUGACUGUAUGCCACCUCCAUCGUUGCAGCCUUGUCUCCCCCACCACCGCCCCUCAGCCUCCUAUAAUGUUGUUGUGGAUUCUUAGAAUGGAAAUGUUAUGUACAUAAAAAAUACACUAUGGUCUGUGUUUGCAAAUCCAUGGUUGUUGAAUCAUGUUUGUAUAAGCAUUUGUAAAUAGCUAGCCUUGUUGGCUAAUCUUUUUUUUGGUUCUGGUCAGCAACUAUGCCGACGGCAAUGCUGUAGGCAUAGAUGGCU
Molecule: long non-coding RNA, 2164 nt
Filed under: Triticum aestivum (bread wheat)
Lineage: Eukaryota; Viridiplantae; Streptophyta; Magnoliopsida; Poales; Poaceae
Description: long non-coding RNA (TAES_LNC002071)
Source: RNAcentral